CCUUAAGAGAACCUAAUUGGUUAAAAGUAAACCGCUUCGAUUUCUGCUUACAGCUCCGGUUCUGUCCGCAGCUGUUAAUGUUUCCAGUUUCCUAAUUUCAUUUUUACUAACCCGCAUUUUCACUCGCACCAAUUCUCAUUUCUUCUCCUUCUGCUUCCUUAGUUCGAAAUCCUCUAGGGCGAAAGUCACACACCACCCCAUUUUCUCGCACCACCUCUCCUCACCUCACCUCACUCUCAACCUCCAUUUCAUCUUCUUCUGCUAUCGAUUCGUACUCACCACCAAUAACUUCAACUUCGACCUCCAAUAUAAAAAGAAAAUUAAAAAUAUCAACUUCUUCCUCUAUUUUUGCGUUUUUUCUUCAUUCGCCGGUGACUCGAUCAAAAAUCCCCAAAAUUUAGGGUUUGUUCAUCGUAAUCAGUCCUGCUCUUGAUUAAUCCUCAUUUAUGCCUUUUGAUUUCUACGUUUCUUCUUCUCUUGAUCCGUCGGACGUCGCCACGUCUUCGCCAAGACAGCCCAGGUCACCAACCACCAACCUCUGCCAGCUCAACUUGGUGAUUUCGUUUUUUAAUUAGUUUGUAAUUAGGGUUUCUUUUUUAGGGUUUUUGUUUUUUUCGAAUUACUGGAAUUAGGGUUUUUAAAAUUUUCGAAUGACUGGAAUUAGGGUGAUUGGCCGUUAUCCUACUACUUGUUGUUAAGGUUUUCAUGCGAUGUUAGUUGUUUGUAGUCGUUUCUAUGUCAAACUUGAAUUGAUUUUUCCUAUUAUUUUGUGGUUCUGAUUGUAAAGAAUCGAUUGUUUGCUUGAAUUGGGUAAUGUAUAUAUAUUAUUUGUUAUUAGUAAGUUUGAAGUAAAUUAUGUGGUUUGUGGAGUGCAUUUAAUUCGUAUUAUUUGGUUAUCUGAUGUGGGUUUUUCCAGGGUUUGCUCUAAAUUGCUGCAUUUUUUCUUGCCUGAAAUUGCUCUAAAUUGCUGCAUUUUUCCUCCCACGCACUUUAGAACCGAGAGAGCAGAAAAUUUCCUUUCUCAUAAGUUGCUGUAAACAUAUGGCAGCUACUAAUUUCACCAUGUAUAUGGUAUUGGUUAGUUAUUACUUGUUAGUUUUUUGUAGUGUAGUUAAUGGGUGUUAAUUGUCCUGACAUCUGAGUUGGUGAAUAGUUUUGUGUUGAUUUUGCUGCUUUCAGUUAAAUUUGAUUUGUUAUAUACUUAUUAUUUUUUUUAAAUUUAUCGUAACUAUUGGAGAUAGAUACUUCCUCUGUCUGAAUUGCUUUUUUUAAGAUAUAUGAUGAAUUGUUUGGAUAAUUUAGGUUGAGUUUGUCUUGUUUUUGAACUUCUUUUUUCUCAUUCUUUCAAGAUUUAAGCUAUGGAGUUAUCUGGGUAUCCAAGAAGAGAAUAUUUUGUUGGUUGUCAUAAUCUUCAAAUAACGAUUGAAAUCAUCACAUGAGGUUCUAAACUCGAUAAAAUGAAACAUUUUAUUGUCUUGUACCAUUAAUUGAUUGUGUCUAAGGUAGCAAAUGUUGUGUAAGUUUCUUUCCUUUUCACUACACAUUACUCAACAAAUGGAAGCGCACAUCCAACUCUUCUUUAACCUAUAUUCUCUCAGCAAUGUUGAAGGGCUGAAAUUUAGUAAUACAAUGAUCAACUAUUUCAAGCUUUUCAGUGCAACACAAAGCACAAACUCUGAAACUCAUAUCCUAGUUUGAAAGACACUUCUUAUACUAAUAUUAGAUUAUUAUUAGCCAGCACGAUUUCUAGCCGAAGUGACGAAUUUCAGGCAAGACAUUUAAGCACCACAACCUCAUCCAAUUCCUAUGACUCUAUUUUGAGAACUCCCUUUUUACCCACGAUCGUCUAUAGAACGCAACAUGUGGUAAGCUGAUUUGGCAGUAUAUUCUCCAUGGAAUGAAUAUUUGCCCAAUAGGUUCUUUACUAACAAUUGUGAAACCUUGGCCUUGGUAGGAGAAAUUACUCUAUAGUAGAUAGGAAGCCAUUUUACAAUGACUUUUUCUUGAUCUGCCUUGUUUGGUGGUGUUUUUAGAUUGCAUUUGCUGAUUUUAAUUGGAGGAUCUUUCAGAAAAGGAGUAUCGUAUGUUAGAUUUUUAGUCCAUGGAAGUAUGUGAUUUAAGAUCUGUGCUUUUCUGCCUUUAUUCUGAUUGGUAUAUAUGACGAACGUGUUUUUAAAACUAUUUUGUAUCUUCUACAUAUUAAAAUCACGGAAGCCUUGAUGAGUGCACAUAUUGUGAAUGUUCCUGACUGUCAUGUAAAGCAAUGUAAUCACUCUUUACUCACAUCCACUUGCCCAAGAUUAAUUAGAAAGCUACACCAGAGUGUAUAUGGGAUGCUGAACAACUCCAAAUUCACAAACUCAGUUACUGCUUCAAUCCAGCCACUUGAAGCUUCAACCACAUACCGCUUUGACAACACACUGCCAUCCAAAGAAAUGCUCAACUUGUGGAGAAAUGUAGAUGUUGUUUGCUUUGAUGUUGAUAGCAUUGUGUGCGUAGAUGAAGGUAUUAAUGAAUUUACCGAAUUUUGUGGAGCUGGAAAAGCAGUUGCAGAGUGGACAUCAAGAUGAAAGUAUUGAUGAAAUUACCGAAUUUUGUGGAGCUGGAAAAGCAGUUGCAGAGUGGACAUCAAGACCAAUGAAUGGUACAAUUACCUUUCAAAAGGUGAAGGAUUUAUGUCCUCGACUUAAAUGCAAUUACGAAUGUAUAAUGGAUCAUAUUAUAGAGAUAAUUAGUUCGUUAUAUUGGGUCGUAUAUACGUCUUGCUAGUAAAAACUAUAGAACUUCGGAUUAGUAAAUAAAUAAACUCGAAGCCCAAUGUAACGGAUCCUACAAGGUCACACAUUGAACUUGGAUCAACAAAAGAAACCUAGAGCCCAAGAGGGCCCUAGGGUGGUCGGCCAAGAGAGGGGAAAAGGAGAGAAUUCUGACCUAAAUACUUAUAUAUAUAUGGGUUAGGCAGAAAAGAAAAUCAUCAGUUUUAUUCUAUUAAUAUUUUCUCUCUCGUAUUCUCUUUCUUUCAAAGUCACAUAAAAACUCCAAAAACAAGAAAGAAGUUUUCUUCCUUUCCAACUAGCAUUGGUGGAUUGUUGAUCCGGGUUGGUGGACUAAGUAGAGGAAUCACAUAUGAGAUUCUUAAUCUGGGUUAUUCAAGCUUUGUGGAAUUCACGCUACAAAGGUUAUUUCUAAACUUCUAUGUGAUCCUUAAUUGUAUAUGCAUGUGAUUCUGAUUUAAGUGCUUAUGAAUUUGAUUCAUGAAAUUCCGCUUUAUAGUACUUAUAGAUUCUUACAAUGGUAUCAGUUUUAGCCUCUUGCAUAUAGAGUUUUGGUCAUAAAGUUUAGUUUUUGUAUGGUUAAUUUUAAUUUGAUUAAGGGGAGGAAUUAAAUUAUGGAUUGAAUAAUUAAUUGAAAUUUGUUAAAAGGAGUUUUAAUUACUUGCUUUCUCAAUAUUUAAUAGCCGAAAUUUUCUCCUCCUAAACCCUAAUUUUCGAAAUUUAUAAAAUUCUGAUUUUAGAUCUUUAAAUUUCGAAAAUAAAUUCAUGUUAUUAAUAAAAUUUUCAUGCUCAAAAUCGUUUAUGUAUGAAGAUAAAUUCAUGUAAAAAGUGUUUUAUAUGAAAUAGUGAUUAAUUAUAUGAAUAAAUCUGAAAAUUAAUUAAAAUAGAGAUUUUAAAAUUUAAUUUUCUGUAUUAAACAUAAAAAGUUAUGUUUAAUUUAAUCAAGAUCACGUAAUUAAAUUUACAAGAGGUUGUAUUUUUAAUAUCCUUCAGGAAAAAAAAAAAGAUUUGAAAAACAGAAAAGAAGGAGGAAGGGGAGCAGCCACCGUGGCUGCUCCGGUGGUCUGCCGGCGAAAAUGCCGGAAAGGGAGACGCUGACUGCCGGCGAGCAGUCGCGUCGGGGGGAAAAGGGUGGCGGCAGCACUGCUCACUCGUCGCACGGUCGCUCGCAGAGCAGGGCUGCUCGCUACCGGUGUUAUACGGCGGUGUCGGGGAGCGAAAGAAAAAGUCGGCAAGUUCGCCGGCGAGGUGACCUGCGAAGGUCGUCGGGUUUUGCUUUUGGUCCGGUCAUCGUCGAGCGUGAUAGUAGCCUUGUGCUGCUGUGUUUCACGGAUGUUUUCAAAAUUUAAAUAAAAAUUUUUUUUUUUUAAAAAGAAACGUGACUAAAAACUGGGCAGCAACAAAAAAGUUUUUUAUUUUAUCUUUUGGAAAUUUUAUUUUGAAAACAGAAUUUUGAGAAAGAUGAGUAAAUUUCAAUUAUGCUGACUUGGUCAUAAAUUUCAAUCCAUAAUCUGAUUUUUUAAUCUAAUUAAAUUUAAUUAGGCUAGUUUUAAGGGAUAGAAUCUUUAGGUGAUUAGUUAUUACUUAAAUUUUAUCCUCUUGCUUUAAUUAAGUAUAUUUGAUAUUUUAAUUGAUUGGCAAGUAUAAUAUGUGAUAUUGUUAUAUGGCUUUUAUAUUAUGAUAUAUUUGCUAUGUAUGACUAGUAUAGCCCAAAUUAAGAUAGAAAAUAUGAUCUGCAUAUCGGGAUGUAUUCUUGUAAUUUUAAAUACGAUCUGCAUAUCGUUAAGUAUUUUUGUAAAUUAUUUUGAUACUUAUGUAAUCCAAAGAAGUGCUCAUCAAGAGAAGGCCCAUUGGAAAAGGUGGAUGGAGAUCCAUAAAGAGUCCAAGCGAGAGCCAUUGAUGAUUAGUUCUUAGGAUUAGGGGCCAUACUAGAUCAUUUUAUUUUCGCAUUUUAUUAUUCUUUAAAAUGCUUAUAAGUUUAUUGUAUGUUGGUUGUUGAUGCGCUAGAGUUCACUAAUUCAUAACAACAUAAUAAACUUAGGCCCCGUAAAUAUUAAGGUUUGCUUUUCCAAACAUAAAGUACUUAUAAAACCCUUAAUUAAUAGUAAUAGGUCAUGCCUCCGCAGGGUGUUAUCAUUAAUUUUGGGAUAUAAGGUAAAAUUGCAAAUUUUACAACUUAGUUUGGUUGUCCUUAACAAAUUAUCAAAAGCGUUUUGAAUUUUGAAGCAAGAGAUAGUUAAACAUGCGAUGUUUAUCCAUGUAAACAAGAGUUAUAAAGUGUUAUAAUUAGUAAAAGAGUUUACUUACCUUGAUAAUGUAACGUUAAGAAAAGGCCUCCGUCUGCUUAGUGUUGCAUGUUGAUAGGAUCUUGUAAAUCACUUAUUCAUAGGGGACUUUAAUUUGAAUAGGUGGUCAACCUAGAAACCUUUUACAUGUUUUAGGUUGCUUUAAUUUAUAAACAUAAAAUUGAACUUUGCCUUGUUUUUCUGUCUGUAGAUAUCAUGUCUAAUAACAACAACAACAACUCCGGUUUCAACAUUCGUCCUUUUCUGGAAAAGGACUGACUGAAUGGUGAAAAUUUCCUUAAUUGGGAAAGGACUUUAAGACUCGUUCUGAGGUUUGAGGGUCGAGAGGACGUCUUAGAUACCCUGCUUCCUGUAAUAACUGAUGAAUCAACUGACGCUGAAAAACGUCGUGCAAAACAGGCUAGUGAUAAGUCUAUACCAAUCACUUGUUUGAUGGUAGCAGCCAUGGAGCCGAACCUCCAAAAGAGGUUCGAAACCAAGGAUGCCUACACGAUCAUGCAAGAGCUGCGGACCAUGUUUAAAACUCAGGCCCGAGUUGAGCGGUAUGAGACUAAUAGGAAGAUACUUGAAUGUCACUUGAAGCCGGGUCAAGCUGUUGGCCCCCAUGUGUUCGAAAUGAUGGGUCGUCUUUUCGAAAACAUGGAAAGACUUGGGUUUCCUUAUAGGCUCGAGUUGGCUACAGAUAUUAUUCUCCACUCACUGCCUGAUAGUUUCAAUCAGUUCAGAAUGACCUACAAUAUGAAUGAGUCUGAAAAGACUUUGCAAGAGCUGCAUGGAUUGUUGGUCAAUGCUGAAAGGAACAUCCCUAAUGCUGAAAUGGAGCAGGAGUUGCUGCACUUGCCGUCGGGAGCUAUAGUCUACACUUGCCAUCUGGGCUUAUUUUAGAAGUAAAUAAUUGUUAUUUCGUUCCUACAAUAACUAAGAACAUAAUUUCGGUUUCAGUUUUGGAUCCUGAAGGUUUUUGCUUUGAAAUAAAGAACAAAUGUUGUUCCAUUUCUUACAAUAAUAUUUUCUAUGUCAGAGCUAAUUUGAUAAAUGGUUUAUAUGUGCUUAAUAAAUCAUUACAAAUAUAUAAUAUAGAUAGCAAGAAAAAGAAAUCAAAUGAUUCUAACCUAACCUAUAUUUCGCAUUGCCGAAUGGGUCAUAUAAACCAAAAGCGCAUUCACAAGUUACAAAAGGACGGUAUAAUUCCAUCAUUUGAUUUCGGAUCAUUUGAUGUAUGUGAAUCAUGCUUAAUGGGUAAGAUGACAAAAUCACCAUUUACUGGAAAAGGUGAAAGGGCCAGCGAUCUUUUAGGACUCAUACAUACAGAUGUAUGUGGUCCUAUGAGCACAAAGGCAAGGGGAAGUUUUAAUUACUUCAUCACCUUCACUGAUGAUUUGAGUAGAUAUGGCUAUAUUUACUUGAUGAAACAUAAGUCGGAAUUUUUUGAUAAAUUCAAAGUGAAGUACAGAAUCAACUUGGUAAGACAAUAAAAGCACUACGAUCCGAUCGUGGUGGUGACUAUUUAAGCCAUGAUUUUGAUGAUCAUCUAAAGGAUUGUGGAAUUCUUUCACAAUUAACUCCUCCAGGAACACCACAGUUAAAUGGUUUAUCUGAAAGGAGGAAUCGAACAUUACUAGAUAUGGUUCGAUCUAUGAUGAGUCUUGCUAAUCUACCGAUUUCUUUUUGGGGAUACGCUCUCGAAACUGCUGCACACACACUAAAUAGGAGCCCGUCAAAGGUUCACUAGGGGAAAAAAAAAGAAAAGCUGCGCAGGAAGGCUGUGCUUUUUAUAUAAGCGCAGCCCUAUAAAUGAAGGGCUGCGCUUUUCUACAAAAGCGCAGGAUUA
Molecule: long non-coding RNA, 6911 nt
Organism: Beta vulgaris subsp. vulgaris (sugar beet)
Lineage: Eukaryota; Viridiplantae; Streptophyta; Magnoliopsida; Caryophyllales; Amaranthaceae
Exons: 4
Source: RefSeq, a predicted model, not a curated record